AUGACCUCAAUCAGUAGGGAUACCCGCUGACUUAGCUACA
This 40-nucleotide ribosomal RNA is filed under the name uncultured Pachyphloeus. RNAcentral's name for it is "partial 28S ribosomal RNA". The record is from RNAcentral. Lineage: Eukaryota; Fungi; Ascomycota; Pezizomycetes; Pezizales; Pezizaceae.